AAAGUGGAGCAAUCCAUGAGUAAAGUGGCGACCGGGUGAGUAACACGUGACUAACCUACCCUGAAGUGGGGAAUAACCUCGGGAAACCGGGGCUAAUACCGCAUAACAUCGCGAGCUGUAAACGCUUGUGAUCAAAGGAGCAAUUCGCUUUAGGAGGGGGUCGCGGCUGAUUAGCUAGUUGGUGAGGUAACGGCUCACCAAGGCAAAGAUCAGUAUCCGGCCUGAGAGGGCGCACGGACACACUGGAACUGAAACACGGUCCAGACUCCUACGGGAGGCAGCAGUGGGGAAUUUUGCGCAAUGGGGGAAACCCUGACGCAGCAACGCCGCGUGGAGGAUGAAGUCCCUUGGGAUGUAAACUCCUUUCGAUCGGGACGAUUAUGACGGUACCGGAAGAAGAAGCACCGGCUAACUCUGUGCCAGCA
This 425-nucleotide ribosomal RNA is filed under the name uncultured bacterium. RNAcentral's name for it is "bacterial SSU rRNA". It matches the Rfam family "Bacterial small subunit ribosomal RNA", at positions 71 to 513 of the family's 1533-position model. The record is from RNAcentral.